Non-coding RNA from Hanseniaspora opuntiae, 72 nucleotides. The record is from Rfam. NCBI's taxonomy places the organism in Eukaryota, Fungi, Ascomycota, Saccharomycetes, Saccharomycodales, Saccharomycodaceae.
GAAUCUGUGGCGUAAUGGUAGCGCAUUGGAUUCCAAAUCCAAGGGUUGCAGGUUCAAGUCCUGUCAGGUUCA